Molecule: ribosomal RNA, 460 nt
Filed under: uncultured bacterium
Lineage: Bacteria
Description: partial 16S ribosomal RNA
Rfam family: Bacterial small subunit ribosomal RNA
Source: RNAcentral
CCUACGAGUGGCAGCAGUGAGGAAUAUUGGUCAAUGGACGAGAGUCUGAACCAGCCAAGUAGCGUGAAGGAUGACUGCCCUAUGGGUUGUAAACUUCUUUUAUAUGGGAAUAAAAUGUUCCACGUGUGGGAUUUUGUAUGUACCCUAUGAAUAAGGAUCGGCUAACUCCGUGCCAGCAGCCGCGGUAAUACGGAGGAUCCGAGCGUUAUCCGGAUUUAUUUGGUUUAAAGGGAGCGUAGGUGGAUUGUUAAGUCAGUUGUGAAAGUUUGCGGCUCAACCGUAAAAUUGCAGUUGAAACUGGCAGUCUUGAGUACAGUAGAGGUGGGCGGAAUUCGUGGUGUAGCGGUGAAAUGCUUAGAUAUCACGAAGAACUCCGAUUGCGAAGGCAGCUCACUGGACUGCAACUGACACUGAGGCUCGAAAGUGUGGGUAUCAAACAGGAUUAGAUACCCGUGUAGUC